AAAAAGAACUUUUUUAAUUCAAAGUGAAUCUUGACAUAGUACACCAUCAAUUCAUAAUUUGACACUCACCAAUAAGAGUCACCAAGAAGGAACCCGCUUUUUGUGACAAAGUACAUAAGGCUUGGUCACAUUGAUACUCACUGAGAACUAGAGAGGGAGGGGGCGGGGGGUGAGAAAACGACCGCAAACUGGUAAGACACACAUUAUUACAUCCAAAACGAUAAUCAUUUUCCCAGUCCUCAUAUUGUUGUAUAUUGCACAGUGCAGUUGCUACAUGUCAAACUAGUGUAGCAUUUAAGGAAAAAACAAAACAAAAAAAAUCAAAUAACAUAAAAUCAUAAAGCCACACAAUUCUACACAUAUUUAGAACAGUAACAGUUUCAAUUUAGCAAUCGUGUCUACAUAUUUGUGUCUAAAUACAAUAAAUGUCAACCCGAUAAUUAGAUAGCUGUGGUACAAAAAAAUCUACCUAAAAAACGUGUCUUAGGAAUUAAAUUGCGCAAUAACAAGUGUUGUUUUUAUUUUCAGCCCAGUACCCAGAUGAGAUGUUCAGACCACUGUUUGAGUUUGUCAUUUUGACAUGUGAGGGGGGGGGGGUUGAAAUAGAAGCAGCCAGCAGGGAUCUAACCGCUGUUGACUACAACCUCUGAAUCACUGAUGGAAACAGAUUGGAUGCUGUUUAUCGCCACAUCCUCCUAAAAAAAUGAUUAAUAGGAGGGACGGAAAGCUCGGCCCCCCCCCUCUCGUGUUUUUGGAAUUAUUUUAGCUGAACAGCCGUCGUGCGGGCCCAUGCUUUGUCACUUGAGGCUUGCUGGGCUCCCAAGUGCUAGCUGAGCUUUGGAUUGGUGUUUGACCCUCUGUUGACUUUGAUGAUGAAACUGUCACACACACACACACAGAGAGAGAGAGAGAGGCAGGAUUAUCUAUCCUAAAGCAAUCAACCCAAAGUGGUGGAUUAUGGCGUGGGACAUCACCACUGAGGUGAGUACGUGUGUUCAUCUCAUGGCAGGUGCUGAGCUGAAGGAAACAAUAGAAACAUAUUGGGUGGAGGUGGUGGUUGGGGGGGGGUCACACCACAGGGUUAAAAAGGAACAGAACACUUUGCAUGAAGUGAAGUACAGAUUACUGUGCGGCGACACACCUGCGCACGCCUCUUCAAUCAGUUUGAAAUCUAGGCUGCACUGCACGCCGGAACAAAGCAGCGCGUCCCUCUUCCUCACGUACGUUAAAGAGUCGUCAACACAGUAGCAUAAUAAGACGAGUACACACAAUUACAGCCGUUACUUGAGCAACAUAGCAAAAACCAUUACAAUGUAAUACAAUAAAGUAGGUGAGGAUAGGGCAACUUUGGACCUAUACUUUUGAGUAUGAUUGAUGGAUAAAGCCUUUUUCUUUUCUUUUUUUUGUUAAAGAACCCCUGACUGAAACACAAUGAUGAUAUCUACCUAUGCUAUUAUAGCUCCAGAGAAGAACUAUCAACAUCCCCGUUACAAAAAUGAGAGAAAGCUCUGUGUAGCUCAUCUGCGAAGCGAAAAACGGAUAUCUCGGGUUCCACAAAUACAUUCACUGCGUGAGGAUAAAGCUUUUUGCAUUUGUGUGUAUUUAGGCCCUAGGUUGUUUUUUUGUUUUUUUUUAGUACUGCACGGUGUUCUUGGUGAGCGCGAUAAAACAUUCCCUGACUUGUACUUUCUUAGGACUGUAAAAAAAAAAAGAAAAAAAAGAUUGUUUUUCAGACCUCAUCUCAGUCUUAACAAACAAACAAACUUUGGGGUUUUCGUGAUGUGAAAAGUAGGAGCUGAUCCCCCUCAAAAAGGAACUAGUCUACACGUUUCCUGACCGCUCCGAUAUCAAUGCGACGCAGCCGCUUGUUUGAAGAAAGGCACUAGUUGUACAGUACGAGAGUUGCGAAAUACAGUCCGACGACGGGAACACACACAAAAAAAAGAUAUUUCAUCAGAAGAAUGAAAGAAAAAACAAUAAUACAUCAACAACAACACCAGUUACAGAAUCCAAGAGUGAACCCAGCCUACGUUUCAAGAUGAAAUACUGAUGCUAAAUGCUCACACACGCACACACGGAAAAAAAACACACACACCAAAAAGCAACAGAAUAAAAAAAAAAAGAAGAGAAAACUCAUAACUUCCAUUACAGCAGUUUACAAUCACUUCAAAAAAAAACAACAACAACAAAGCCCAUAUACAGAGGCACAAGCAUAUAGGAAUAGCAUUCAAUAUACUCUAUGAUCAAAAUAAAAUCCACUCGUAUUGUAUUUAGUUGUCUUAACUAUAAUACAAAAGAGAGACCGCAGGCUAAUGAGAUUAAUCCUCUAAAUUCACAGCUACGAAGUGGCAGAUAAUCAGUACAUAGCAGCUUAUUAUCUAUACAUUCCAAAUACAAUAUGCCAAACAUAGCUCAGAAAAAUAAAACCUCAACCUUAGUUUUUUCUUCGUUUUUUUCUUUUCUUUCCUCGUUGUAAAAUAGAGAUCUCUCAAUAUAUAUAUACCAAUGUUGAUAACUGCAACAGGUAUGCUGGAGGUGAAAGGAGAAAUAGUAUCGACCGUGCUUUCAGAAAUGAUUAAUGAACAGUCUUUGGUGCUGAUUGGAUUAGAAUACCAGCUGAUAUGACGACAGGUAAAGACGCGGCUCUACUAUACACACACACACGCGCGCACACACACACACACACACACACUCACACACUGGAAAUCCAAAAAUAACACAAAACCCCCCAAAAAAAAGAAGAAAAAAUAUCAAGGCUAUUUCAUCCACCCUGAAGGAAUGUAUCAAAACUGACGAAACAGGCUUCAAUACAUGGACAAGAUUCGUCUCACACGAAUAUUUCAAAUUACUGAUAAACACUCAAUAGCCCAGCAAUGAUACUGUAAAUUGAUAGGGUUAUUUCAAACACUGAGAAGCAUAAAACAAACUUUUAUCUCUUUUUUUUCUCUUUAAAGUCUAUGCCACUCCCAAAAAAUCUAAAACAUUAAAAGCAUUAAUGCAGGUCUAGCCUAAAAUGCAAAAAAAUUAAAAUAAAAUAAAAACACAGCAACCCAGAGGCUAUCUAGAUUGUAUUGCAGUUACAGUAAACAGUGACAAUACUGUUAUGAAUUAAGUACUAUAGUGAAUAGAAAUUGAUUAUCAAAAUAUCAAAUCACUCUUUAUGUACAUAAAAAGCUCAUUCAGUCAAAGCCCUAAAUGUGCAGCUAAAUUAAAUCCAUACUCUGAGUUAGAAAGCAAACUGAAGUUUCAACAUUUGCUGAUAUAUAUUUUUUUAAACAUAACCACAAGCAGAAUUCCUCAUAUCCGUCCAAUAAAGCCCCGUCGUAUUCAGAGUCUGAAGGUUAAGUGCUGCAAAGCCCGUUUUUUUAAAUGUUACAAUCUAUAAGCUCCUGAAGUUUAACGUCAUAAAACUCUGGUUGUAAGGCACUGGGGGGGGGGGGUGGGACAGCGGAGUCUGCCUCAAACAAAGACAGGAGCGUUUAUUUUUUCUUUUUUUCUUACGAUCCUGGUUAAUACAGACUGGGAUGGCUUUCAUAAAAAACAACAA
Molecule: long non-coding RNA, 3547 nt
Organism: Scomber scombrus (Atlantic mackerel)
Lineage: Eukaryota; Metazoa; Chordata; Actinopteri; Scombriformes; Scombridae
Exons: 2
Source: RefSeq, a predicted model, not a curated record